GACGAACCGUGCGAACGUUGUUCGGAAUCACUGGGCUUAAAGGGCGCGUAGGCGGCAGGUCAAGUCCGGGGGUGAAAGCCCCCCAGCUCAACUGGGGAAGGGCCUCGGAGACUGACGUGCUCGAGGGAGGUAGGGGGUCGGGGGAACUUCUGGUGGAGCGGUGAAAUGCGUUGAUAUCAGAAGGAACGCCGGUGGCGAAAGCGCCCGACUGGACCUGCAUCUGACGCUGAGGCGCGAAAGCUAGGGGAGCAAACGGG
This 257-nucleotide ribosomal RNA is filed under the name uncultured bacterium. RNAcentral's name for it is "partial 16S ribosomal RNA". It matches the Rfam family "Bacterial small subunit ribosomal RNA", at positions 524 to 776 of the family's 1533-position model. The record is from RNAcentral.